Molecule: long non-coding RNA, 1590 nt
Filed under: Equus asinus (donkey)
Lineage: Eukaryota; Metazoa; Chordata; Mammalia; Perissodactyla; Equidae
Description: lncRNA (ENSEASG00005027407.1)
Source: RNAcentral
GGCAAAACCAGUGUUUGAAAUCCCUGUCUGUUGACUAUAAACCUGGUACUUUUCACCACUGUAUUCUAUUUCCUCUUAGCAGUUCUCUGUCUUGAAUCUUAUUGUCUGCUUCUCAAAGGCCAAAGUGUAAACUUGCCUACAGAAAACAGAGAGAUUGGAGGAUUUCAGAGUAAAGAACACCGAAGACUAUGAGGCCAGGACGUGAGGAGGGUCAUCGCUAGUUUCUGGGGCCUCUGUUGGAACUUCCUGAGUGGGUGGCAACGACUCGCAAGUAGGGGAGGGGUGAGGAGGUUGGGCUUAGAUACCAGACACAGUGAUGAACAAUUUUUGUAAUUGACUCUCACGUUAGAGUGAUGAAGAAGAGACUGAUAUUAUCCUCAUUUUAAAUGUGAAAGGCUUUAGAGUCUUCUUACGGAAUUCUCUCUAAAUUGACUAGCAAAUGUGGAGCAGCUGAUUUAUAUGUUCUUAAAACGAUUAAGAAAGGCAGUAUUUCUUACCUGGUCGUAAGAAUCGUAUCAGUACUAGUUAAAAAUACUGAUGAUCAAGCCCUUUGAUUGGAGAGCCUUGUUUGGUGCUUUCACCAAAUGCCCAUGCGAAUCUUAUGGUCUCUUGGAUUAUAAUGAAGAAGCUGAGACCCAGGGUUGGAGGCAGGUUGGACUCCGUCAGGAUCUGCCCUGACAGCAUGCUCAGCCUGCUAAGUCCUGCAGACUCUGGACCCUGCGCACCCACUUUCUGUGGCUUGGAUAAGCCGUAGGCCAAAUUAACUCCACAUGCUUGGGACCACUGCAUAUUUUGCCUCCUACAGAAACAAAAGAAUGGUAUUUUUAGAUUCUGAACAAUUUUGCCAUCUAAACUGCGUCUGCUUUCAUGUCACUGCUUCAGAGAAUAGUGAUAUCUCUACUUUUAUCCUAAACUAAUUUGCCCACUUUGUCAUCACCCAUAAUCUCUGGAGUGGAUUGGCCAUUAUGUGAAGAGUGACAGAAGAAUGUGAAAGGAGACUCGAAAGGCAAUGGAAAGUAUUGGAUCUUUGCACUGCUCUUUAUUCUAACACCCGAAUAGAAAAGAUGGAAGAAAUCAAAGGACUGCAUUUAUCCUGGGAAAAAGUUGGAAGAGCAAUUGUCCUUUACAUGAAAGCUUUUGUUACUUUUAUGCUUCUCUUAUUACUAGAAGGUAUUUUUAUGUGUGAUCAUCAAAAGUGGUAAAGUAUAGGACAAUGGCAGAAAAUUCAUUUUAUAAUUAUCCUUUGGUAAAAUAGCUUUUUUGCUCACUUGAAUUGGAAGAAUGAGCAGACAUCAUAAAGACUGUGAACUGUUUGAUGCCAUAAAAUUUCUCUUCUUUUAUAAUUUCCUUUUACAAUUUCUUGAUAAUGUCUAGUAGAAAUUUUAAUGCUGUAUUUAUAACUAUCUAAACAUGGAAUUGAAACAAAAUAAGGAAUCCCAGAAUGUGCUUAUUAAUAUACAUAGAAAACUUUAAUUCCAAUUAAAAAUACUACUUCCUAACCACAGUGAAGUAUCACCUGACACCUGUGAGAAUGGCCAUUAUCAAAAAGGCAAGAGAUAACAAGUAUUCUUGAGGAUGUGGCGGAAAGGG